Lepisosteus oculatus (spotted gar) is the source of this 436-nucleotide non-coding RNA. Lineage: Eukaryota; Metazoa; Chordata; Actinopteri; Semionotiformes; Lepisosteidae. The record is from RefSeq and is a predicted model, not a curated record.
UAUUGGCUGCCCUCAAUCUCCUUACACCACAGAAGGCUAACCUUCUUUUACUGUCUCCUGACAACGAGGGGCGCUGUGAGCUAAAGGAGAAGUGGUUUGGAACCCAGUACAGUGUGGAAGAAAUUGACAAGGAAUGGAGCAAGCGCUGGUCUGCAGACUUUGAGCUGAACCCAGACUUACACCUCCCCACAGAAAACAUGUUUAUCGAUGGAGCUCAGCAGACACGCUUAUACUGGACAACAAUGUUACAGACUGGUCUGAUGCCCUCACAGCCACCCCAUCCACUGAACAAUGAAGAAGCCGGAAAACCGUGACAAGUUGCCAAAAACUGGACAAAGCCAGUCAGUUUCCUGUUUAAGUUUAAGGAGUUUCCAUCCUAUUUAUUUCUCUGCUUCUCCUAACUCUUGUACUAGGAGGGUCUGACAGCUCCCACAGG